Molecule: non-coding RNA, 94 nt
Organism: Mycena rebaudengoi
Lineage: Eukaryota; Fungi; Basidiomycota; Agaricomycetes; Agaricales; Mycenaceae
Source: the annotation of a GenBank genome assembly
GACCUGUUAGCGCAGUCGGAAGUGUGCUCGUAGGAUUUAGUAACUGUGUCACAGAAUUGUAUGGGCGGCCCCGGUCCGAACCCGGGACAGGUUG